Molecule: ribosomal RNA, 468 nt
Filed under: uncultured bacterium
Lineage: Bacteria
Description: partial 16S ribosomal RNA
Rfam family: Bacterial small subunit ribosomal RNA
Source: RNAcentral
GACGAACGCUGGCGGCGUGCUUAACACAUGCAAGUCGAACGGAAAGGCCCUGCUUUUGUGGGGUGCUCGAGUGGCGAACGGGUGAGUAACACGUGAGUAACCUGCCCUUGACUUUGGGAUAACGUCAGGAAACUGGGGCUAAUACCGGAUAGGAGCUCCUGCUGCAUGGUGGGGGUUGGAAAGUUUCGGCGGUUGGGGAUGGACUCGCGGCUUAUCAGCUUGUUGGUGGGGUAGUGGCUUACCAAGGCUUUGACGGGUAGACAGCCUGAGAGGGUGACCGGCCACAUUGGGACUGAGAUACGGCCCAGACUCCUACGGGAGGCAGCAGUGGGGAAUAUUGCACAAUGGGCGGAAGCCUGAUGCAGCAACGCCGCGUGCGGGAUGACGGCCUUCGGGUUGUAAACCGCUUUCGCCUGUGACGAAGCGUGAGUGACGGUAAUGGGUAAAGAAGCACCGGCUAACUACGUG